GCUUGCCCUGAUACCUAGACACUGUCAUUUUUGCCCGCGCAAAUGUUUUCACACCUUUUGCAUUUUUUCCUAUUUUUCUUUCCCUAGCUUGCCCAGAAAAUAGAUUAGGGUUUUCACUACCAAUUGCAGCCGAGGGGUAACCAAUGGAUGUGUGCCAAAUUCCUCAGCUUCUAAACGACACGCUCAGUUCUGAUGUCAAUGUCGUCCAUACGGCCACAGAAGCUCUAAAUCGCCUCUCUCUCCUCCCUCACUUUCCCUUCUCCCUCCUCUCCGUUGCCGCUGGAGGUGAAAAUCAAGGUCAAAGAGUUGCUGCCGCUACAUACCUUAAGAACUUCACCAGGCAAAAUAUCAAGGGAAAUGGUCCAAAGUCAAAAGUGAGCAAGGAGCUUAAGGAUCAUCUUAUGCGAAUUUUGCUUCAAGUGGAACCUGCGGUUGUAAAAGUCUUAAUUGAAGUGUUUCGGAUCAUUGUUGUUGCUGAGUUUGUUGAGCAGAAUUGUUGGCCUGAACUUGUACCUGAACUACGGUCUGCUAUUUGGAACAGCAAUCUUAUCAACAAUGGUACAAGUUGUGAAUGGAAUACCAUUAAUGCCCUUACAGUUCUCCAGGCACUUAUCAGACCUUUCCAGUACUUUCUAAACCCUAAAGUAGCUAAGGAGCCAGUGCCACCACAGCUAGAGCUAAUUGCAAAAGAAAUUCUUGUAUCCUUGUUAGCUGUAUUCCAUCACCUCCUGGAGAAGGCUUUAUCUACCCAUGGUGGGACAGAGUUGGAAGCAGAGAAGAUCCUUCUUAUUGUAUGCAAAUGCAUAUAUUUCACUGUGAGGUCACACAUGCCAUCUGCAUUAGCUCCUUCUCUGCCUUCGCUUUGCCAGAAUUUGACUAGCCUUCUUGAUUCCUUGAGCUUUGAUCAUGAUGUUACUUCAGAAGACGGGCAAUUGCUGAGACUGAAGGCUGGAAAGAGGAUUUUGCUCAUAUUUUGUGCUCUGGUUACCCGACACCGGAAGUAUUCUGACAAGUUAAUGCCAGAUAUAUUAAACUGUGCCCUGAAAAUAGUUAGAUACACCAAAAAUAUCAGUAAGCUAGAUUUCCUGUCAGAGAGAAUCAUUUCAUUAGCUUUUGAUUUAAUUUCUCACAUUCUGGAGACAGGCCCGGGAUGGAGAUUGGUUUCACCCCAUUUUUCAUUUUUGUUGGAUUCUGCAAUCUUCCCAGCAUUAGUCCUGAAUGAGAAGGAUAUUUCGGAGUGGGAUGAAGAUGCAGAAGAGUACAUACGAAAGAAUCUUCCGUCUGAACUUGAAGAAAUUUCUGGGUGGAGGGAGGAUCUGUUUACAGCAAGAAAAAGUGCAAUAAAUUUACUUGGUGUUAUUUCAAUGUCAAAGGGGCCACCUACGGUGAUCUCUUGUAAUGGUUCAGCUGCAUCUUCUAAGCGUAAGAAGGGUGAAAAGAACAAGAGAGAUAAUCAGCGUUCUAUGGGGGAUUUGUUUGUCCUUCCAUUUUUGUCUAAGUUUUCCCUUCCUUCUGAUGCUAAUGCAUCCAAAGCAAGCAUUAUAAAUGAUUAUUAUGGGGUUCUAAUGGCAUUUGGUGGGCUGCAAGAUGUAAGGAAAUUUUCUAACAGAGCAACAAACUGGAUACAUAACUGUUCUGGUUCGGGCUCGGGUCUUACCAUUAUAUACCAUGUCUGUAAUUCCACCAUACUUGGUUGCUGCUGCAAAUUGGGUUCUUGGGGAGCUAGCGUCCUGUCUGCCAGAAUUCAAAACUUUUUGAAGUUUCUGCCUUGUUUUCAGGACAUGAGUGCAGAUAUAUAUUCCUCAUUGCUUAAGGCACUGGCAAUGCCAGAUAACAAGGAUACUUCCUGUCAUCCUGUACGGGUUUCUGCAGCUGGGGCGAUUAUGGAGCUUCUUGAAAACGAAUAUCAGCCACCUGAGUGGUUACCAGUUCUUCAAGUUGUGAUUAGUAGGAUAAAUAUUGAAGAGGAAGAAGAGACUUCGAUUUUAUUUCAGCUUCUAAGCUCAGUGGCGGAGGCUGGUGAUGAAAACAUUGCAGAUCAUAUCCCAUUCAUGAUUUCAUCAAUAGUUGGAGCACUCUUGAAGUUUGUGCAUCCUAGUCUGGAGUCAUGGCCUCAAGUGGUUGAAAGAGGCUUUGCAGCAUUAGCAGUAAUGGCUAAAUCUUGGGAGAGCUUCUUGCCUGAAGACUUUGAGCAGAUUGAAUCAAGUGAAAAGUGGGCAUCUGGCCAAGCUGCCAUUGGUAAAGCUUUGUCAGCACUAUUGCAACAGACUUGGCUUGCCCCUAUGCAUCUAGGGGACCAAGAAGGUCAGGUUUCUCCAGUUCCUACAUGCAUAGAUGAUUCAUCAAUGCUGCUGCGUUCCAUUAUGCUUUCAGUUACUGGAAGUGACAUGAUUCUGCAGCUUAAACUAUCUGAUUUACUAUUAGUUUGGGCUGGUCUGAUUGCUGACUGGCAUGCCUGGGAAGAAUCUGAAGAUCUAUCAGUCUUUGAGUGCAUUAAUGAAGUUGUUAACCUACACAGAAAGUAUGGACUGAAGAAUUUUAUUGUUAGACAGAUGCCCUCACCUCCUGCUCCGCCUGUGCCACAACAAUCUAUCAUUGAAGGCAUUGGUGCUUUUGUUAGCGAGGCUGUUUUGCAAUAUUCAUCUGCAACAUGGAGGGCUUGCUCAUGUGUCCAUACGCUACUACAUGUCCCAUGUUACUCGACUGAAACUGAAGAUGUGAAGCAGUCAUUGGCAAUUGCUUUUAGCCAGGCCGCAUUUUCUCGUUUCAAACAAAUUCAAAGCAAACCUUGUUCACUUUGGAAGCCUUUGUUGCUUGUUAUAUCAUCAUGCUAUUUAUGGUAUCCUGAUACUUUGGAAGCGAUUUUAGAGAAGGAUAUGAAUGGAGGUUUCACAACUUGGGGAUCUGCACUUGCUUUUGCCUGCACUGGCUCUUUCGAACCUGGUUUGGUGGCAAAGUCUGAGAUAAAGUUAGGAGUAAUGACGCUAGCCAAGGUAAUUGAGCGGCUUUUAGAACAAGAUAAUUCAGUAGUUGGCUUGUUAAGGGACUGCUUUAGUUCAUUGAUGGAGGCAUCAAAACGGUUGAAAGAAGCACAAGAUGAAACGGAAGAUGAAGAAAGCAAUUGUGAAACCGAAGACAUUGAUGAAGAAGAAGAUGACACUGACUAUGAUGACGUGGACUCCGAGGAUGAGGAACGUGAAGAAACUGAAGAAGAGUUUCUAGAAAGAUAUGCAAAAGCAGCAAUAGCAUUGGAUGAUGACACAAUUGUUGAAGAGGGGGAUGUGGAAGAUCAAGAGCAUGAUAUCGAAUUAGUCUUCUAGUGUGGAUAUCCCAUCCCAAAAUGGUGUGGCCGAAAGAAAAAAUCGGCAUCUUCUUGAGGUAACUCGUGCUCUUCUUUUUCAGAUGAAAGUUUCUAAACACUUUUGGGCGGAUGCAGUUUCUACGGCAUGUUUUUUGAUCAAUCGUAUGCCGUCUUCUGUCCUUAAUGGGGAUAUUCCUUAUACUGCUUUAUUUCCUAUAAAAUUUUUGUUCCCUGUUGAACACCGUAUUUUUUGUUGUACCUGUUUUGUGCGUGAUGUUCGUCCACAGGUUACUAAAUUGGAUCCAAAGUCUUUCAAAUGUGUUUUCCUUAGGUACUCCAGGCUCCAAAAAAGGUGCCUGGGAGGAGUUAGAUGAGCAGAGGAUUAUAUUUUCAUUGAUAGAGAGAUUCAAUCAUAUUCUCAUACGAGGGCAGGCAUUGUCUUCGCAGGUCGUAUCAAAUUUCCUCUCUGCCUAUCCCGAGUGUAAUC
Hevea brasiliensis (rubber tree) is the source of this 3788-nucleotide RNA transcript. It is a transcript of the gene named importin beta-like SAD2 homolog, with no coding region annotated. The record is from RefSeq and is a predicted model, not a curated record. The transcript has 22 exons. NCBI's taxonomy places the organism in Eukaryota, Viridiplantae, Streptophyta, Magnoliopsida, Malpighiales, Euphorbiaceae.